RNAcentral lists this ribosomal RNA (801 nucleotides) under Soehngenia saccharolytica. Its description in RNAcentral is "bacterial SSU rRNA". It matches the Rfam family "Bacterial small subunit ribosomal RNA", at positions 546 to 1348 of the family's 1533-position model. Lineage: Bacteria; Bacillati; Bacillota; Tissierellia; Tissierellales; Tissierellaceae. The record is from RNAcentral.
CGGAAUUACUGGGCGUAAAGAGUUCGUAGGCGGUCUGAUAAGUCAGAUGUGAAAGGCGUAGGCUUAACCUAUGUAAGCAUAUGAAACUGUCAGACUUGAGGUAAGGAGAGGAAAGUGGAAUUCCUAGUGUAGCGGUGAAAUGCGUAGAUAUUAGGAGGAAUACCAGUGGCGAAGGCGACUUUCUGGACUUAAACUGACGCUGAGGAACGAAAGCGUGGGGAGCAAACAGGAUUAGAUACCCUGGUAGUCCACGCCGUAAACGAUGAGUGCUAGGUGUCGGGUAGAAAUAUUCGGUGCCGCAGCUAACGCAAUAAGCACUCCGCCUGGGGAGUACGUACGCAAGUAUGAAACUCAAAGGAAUUGACGGGGACCCGCACAAGCAGCGGAGCAUGUGGUUUAAUUCGAAGCAACGCGAAGAACCUUACCAGGGCUUGACAUGCCUCUGACGUUACUAGAGAUAGUAAUUUAUCCUUCGGGAUACAGGGGACACAGGUGGUGCAUGGUUGUCGUCAGCUCGUGUCGUGAGAUGUUGGGUUAAGUCCCGCAACGAGCGCAACCCUUGUAUUUAGUUGCCAGCAUUAAGUUGGGCACUCUAGAUAGACUGCCGUGGACAACACGGAGGAAGGUGGGGAUGACGUCAAAUCAUCAUGCCCUUUAUGUCCUGGGCUACACACGUGCUACAAUGGUCGGUACAACGAGCAGCAAGCUAGUGAUAGCAAGCGAAUCUCUAAAAGCCGAUCCCAGUUCGGAUUGUAGGCUGCAACUCGCCUACAUGAAGUCGGAGUUGCUAGUAAUCGCGAA